Molecule: ribosomal RNA, 267 nt
Filed under: Saccharomyces cerevisiae (brewer's yeast)
Lineage: Eukaryota; Fungi; Ascomycota; Saccharomycetes; Saccharomycetales; Saccharomycetaceae
Description: partial 25S ribosomal RNA
Rfam family: Eukaryotic large subunit ribosomal RNA
Source: RNAcentral
GGCCUGAUUUUAUGCAGGCCACCAUCGAAAGGNAAUCCGGUUAAGAUUCCGGNACCUGGAUAUGGAUUCUUCACGGUAACGUAACUGAAUGUGGAGACGUCGGCGCGAGCCCUGGGAGGAGUUAUCUUUUCUUCUUAACAGCUUAUCACCCCGGAAUUGGUUUAUCCGGAGAUGGGNNNUUAUGGCUGGAAGAGGCCAGCACCUUUGCUGGCUCCGGUGCGCUUGUGACGGCCCGUGAAAAUCCACAGGAAGGAAUAGUUUUCAUGC